CGCGUAGGCGGCUUUGUAAGUCUGGAGUGAAAGUCCUCUUUUCAAGGGAGGAAUUGCUUUGGAAACUAUAGAGCUUGAGUGCAGGAGAGGUUAUCGGAAUUCCCGGUGUAGCGGUGAAAUGCGUAGAUAUCGGGAGGAACAUCGGUGGCGAAGGCGGAUAACUGGACUGCAACUGACGCUGAGGCGCGAAAGUGUGGGGAGCAAACA
This 207-nucleotide ribosomal RNA is filed under the name uncultured bacterium. Its description in RNAcentral is "partial 16S ribosomal RNA". It matches the Rfam family "Bacterial small subunit ribosomal RNA", at positions 568 to 774 of the family's 1533-position model. The record is from RNAcentral.